Molecule: RNA transcript, 3302 nt
Organism: Panicum virgatum (switchgrass)
Lineage: Eukaryota; Viridiplantae; Streptophyta; Magnoliopsida; Poales; Poaceae
Gene name: zinc transporter 10-like
Exons: 9
Source: RefSeq, a predicted model, not a curated record
GGAGCGGUGGGGGGCGCCUGUCUUCCCGCCUGCCUACGGCGGCGGGGGCUCGCUCUCCCAUCCUCCCCUCCCUCUCCGCCUCCGCUCGCGCGUAUAAAAUGUGGAGUGAGAUCGCGCGAGCACGCGGACUGUUCGAGAAGGGGCUGCUUGUUUCCGCGUCAGCAGCAGAAGAAAUUGCGCGGCGGCGAUGCCGUUCUUCGAGGGAAUGAUGGAAUCCUCGUACGCGCCUUACCUCCGCACGCACCUCCAGCAGAUAGCAGCGUCGUUGUCCACGGCGAGCUGCGCCCCGCCUGGCGCCGAGGAGGAGGAGUGCCGGGACGAGGCCGCGGCGCUGGGGCUCAAGAUGGUGGCCAUCGCGGCCAUCCUCGUCUCCGGCGCGACGGGCGUCGCGAUCCCGCUCGCUGGCCGCCGCUGGCGCGGGCGGGGCGUCGGUGGGGCGGCGCCGGCGUCGUCCUCCUCCACCGGCGGCCUGUUCGUGCUCGCCAAGGCAUUCGCGGCGGGGGUGAUCCUGGCCACGGGGUUCGUGCACAUGCUGGACGACGCCAACGACGCGCUCGCGGACCCCUGCCUCCCGGCCGAGCCCUGGCGCCGGUUCCCGUUCCCGGGGUUCGUCGCCAUGCUCGCCGCGCUCGGGACGCUCGUCGUCGACUUCGUCGGCACGCACAUGUACGAGCGAAAGCACCGCAGCGAGGAGGAGCAGGCCGCCGCAGCCGCCAAUGGCAGCUCGCGGGAGGAGAUCGCGGCGGCGCUGCUCGAGGACGGCGCGCUCGCGGCGAGGGGCGACGUCGACGGGAGGGACGGGGGAGGCCGCAAGGAGGACGCCAUGCACAUCGUGGGCAUGCGCGCGCACGCCGCCGCUCACAGGCACAGCCACGCGCACGGGCGUGGCUCUUGCCAUGGAGGAGGGUCGUAUGACAGCCACGGCCAUGGCCAUGGACACGAUGAAGAGCCGUCUCAGGCUCGCCACGUUGUUGUCUCACAGGUUCUCGAGCUUGGGAUUGUGUCGCACUCGGUGAUCAUUGGCCUAUCGUUGGGCGUUUCACAGAGCCCCUGUACCAUCAGACCUCUGGUUGCUGCCCUCUCCUUCCACCAAUUCUUCGAGGGCUUUGCAUUGGGUGGCUGCAUUUCUGAGGCUCAGUUCAAGAGUUCCUCUGCACUCCUGAUGGCCAUUUUCUUCGCCAUCACAACACCUGCCGGGAUCACUGCGGGGGCAGGUGUCGCGUCGUUCUACAACCCCAACAGUCCAAGGGCGCUGGUGGUGGAGGGCAUCCUGGAUUCCAUGUCGGCCGGUAUACUGAUCUACAUGGCCUUGGUGGACCUCAUUGCUGCUGAUUUCCUCAGCAAGAGGAUGAGCUGCAACCCAAGGCUGCAAUUUGGUUCCUACAUUGCGCUGUUCCUUGGUGCCAUGGCCAUGGCAUCUCUUGCCAUCUGGGCUUAGUCAGCCGGAUGGAAGUGAAGCAAAUGCUUGAGAGGACCUGCUUAAUUGAAUUCCAAAACAGCAGGUCUGGUGAAUAUGGGUGUUGCAUCCUCAUCACUUUUUGGUUGUCAGUGACUGGCUAGAAUCCACUUGCCAUUUUCAGAUAUCAAUUCAUGUAGAUGACGAUGACUUGUCGCGGCCUCUUGCUUCGGAUCCGCUUGUUUUGGCAUCGCUAGGCGUCUGGGGUCGGCCCUGCGGAGUCGGAGCUGCUGGCUGCUAUGCAACCAUGCUCGGCAACGAUAACCCAGAGUUGUUGUGUACUCUGCUGCGUCGCGUGGGCAAUGGCUUCCGACGGAUAGAGACAGAAUAGGGAGAAGCUCCAAUGGAAUAUGGACUCCAACGACUCUGAAGGCCCAGACGCCCAGUGACAGCAUGAUACGACUGCCACUCGAUCAGUGGGUGCCCGGCAGACGAAUCCGUUUCGCCGUCUGCUCUACCAAUUGUGGCAACUUUGUCAGACAGCGAGAGGGUCUCUCUGGAGUGUUUCAGUGGUUGCCCGUGGUCCGUGGAGGAAUCUGCGCUCCCGGUGUCCUGGCAAGCACGGGCGCACGGCCGCAUUGCACGGUGGUGUGUCAGUAUCACUCGGCAGGGAAUACGGGAGCCAGCCAUCAUGGACAUCAAGGACUUGGGUGUGCAGUGUGCUCGAGCAGCAGAGAGAUGGAUUCGAUUCUGAAAGCUUUUGACGUGGCCAUGGCAUUUAACUGGAAGAGCUAGCAGAUGAAGCAUAGCUCCGCCUUCAUGAGCAGCACUCAGAAUUGGAUGAGAAAACACAUUGCCUUGCUUCAUUCAAGUUUAUCAUCAUAAUUUGUAUUCUUUGUUGUCAAAGGGGUGCUAUCAUGAAAUGGUUGCUCCUGCAAGUUGCCAGAGGUGAUGAUGACCGUAUAUCUUCAAGUGGAUGUGGCUUUGCAGAGUACUCUACAAACGGCACGUGAGGAAGGGUCAUUGGCAAUCUUUCCUGGUACAAGAUCCCUCCUUGAAGACCAAAUCCUGCAAGGCCCGGUAGAGGGGAUCCAGGAAAUAAAGAUAGGGGCGCGAGUCGCGAAGAUGAGGUCGUCUUCUACCUCUAGCCUCCUCCAUUCUUCAUCCAUGGUGUCUAGGGAGGCUGAGGGGAAUCGAUGGACUCCCCAGUUAGUAUGAGGCUCGAGCCCCCUAGCUACCUCUUGGAUCCGCCAGUAAGGCCCGGAAAGUAUGUUGUGUUCUUCAGAUGAAAGUCAUGUGCUGCAUUUUCAGGUACCGGCUUUCACUCGUGCUCCAUGGUGACGCUACGGAACUGUUUGAUCAAAUGGGGCUUGCGAGUGCGCUUGAGGGAGAUUCCUCUCAGUGCAUUGUCAGAAGCCACUGGACCUUUUAUCAGGUUUGCAUUGCAGUCAAAUAGGUAAUGAAUCUCCAUGGAAGAAGACAGAUGAGGGAGAGGCAGUAGCACUGAGCUCUCAACUCUCAAGGCAUGACUCGGGAGGAGGCAGUGACAACAAAACGACAUGACUUAUUGACGUGGCUGCCACCCUGGACAGAAGGAAGAAUCCGGCGCGCCGUGGUCUGCGGGUUGUUGGCAACUUGUUGGUGAGACUAUCAGGGCAAACAUUGGGCCUGCAGGCGUGUCAGAUGCUACGCGUGAAUCGGAAGAAUAUUCUCCGCCCUGUGCCCACAGCAACAGUGGCAGCGUCUGUUUGCUUUGCCUCCCGGGGAGUAGUAGGAAACGUGGCCCGUGGAGGUAGAGGUGGAAAUGUGAACGUGUAUACCCCCAAUUAUUCGAUACCAUAUCUGUUAAAAUAUAAGUAUUUAUAUCCUUAUGUGUUUUAUUCUAAUAUAUGUAACUAGAACGGUA